UAUAUAUAUAUUUGAACUAGGCUGGAAUACUAUCAAUAGCACCAAGCUAUUGAUGCUAUUAGUUUUUUAGCCCUUCGAUUGAGAAAUGUGUGGUUAGGAUGAUGUGGGCCCCCUAAGGUUGAGUGAGUGAUUGGUUGAAUAGUAUAAUCUAACGGAUAAAAAUAAUCAAAGGGUUAAAUCUAACGAUGGAAAACUCAAUAGCACCAAAUCCUUGGUGCUAUUAAUAGUAUUUCAGCCGGACUCUAUUUAUUUAUUAUAUAUAGUAUUUUAUUUUUAUAUAGAAAUAUUAUUAUAUAAUAUUUUAUUUAUAAGCAUAAUAUAAUUUGCUAUUUUUUUACUUAAUUAAUUAGCUUAGUUUUGCAGCUCUUUAUUCUUAUAUUCUCAAGAAAUAUGAAUAUUUAUGCUAAUAGCAUAAAUCUUGAGAGAAAAAAAAUUUAAUUUAAUAGCCGAAUUUUUAAUCCCGAAUUUUUAAUUGGUGAACGUAUAAUAUCCGUAUAAAUCAUGUAUCCAAAUAAUUGCUGAAUCUGUUUUUUAACCAUAUUUUUCAACGAAUUUAAAAAUUAAAAAAUAAAUUUUAUCCGAAUUAUACCCGUAUCAAAUUUUUGCUGAAUCCGAAUUAACUAACUAUGAGCUUAAACAAGU
RNAcentral lists this long non-coding RNA (642 nucleotides) under Ananas comosus (pineapple). RNAcentral's name for it is "long non-coding RNA (ACOM_LNC012162)". The record is from RNAcentral. Lineage: Eukaryota; Viridiplantae; Streptophyta; Magnoliopsida; Poales; Bromeliaceae.